GUUGGACUGAUGGGUGGGAUGGAUUCCUUUUUUAUUCCUCACAGUAGCUUCUACACGAUGGAUAUAGGAAUUGAUGGUGAAGUGUCCCUCCCUGUACCUGGUCCCACCCUACCUUGGUCCUCCGCGGGCUCAAUAGGCGUGGCAUUUCAGGGCAAACCCACGCUAGUGGGCGGGUUUAGUUUAGCAGGAUACAAGCAUGGAAUUACAAACUUGGAAAAGGAUUCUUGGUUUACUUGGAGUUCAGACAUUUCAAGCUCAAGAGUUUCUGGAUUAGCUGUAGCAUUACCAGACGAUAUAUUCAUGUACUGUUAGUUGUACUUAUACAAGACGUUAAUUCUGUACUGCUUGAUGUACUUGUACUAGACGAUAUAUGUCUGUACUGAUGGCUGUACUAAGUACUUGUACCAGAGUAAAUUUCCCUGUACUUCGUGAUGGUGAAUAACUUGGUUCGUUUUUCAUAAACUUUUAAGGUUUUUGGUUUUAAGAGAUACCGCACAAAUACUGUGAAAUUGUUAAGAUUCAAACAUUUAAAAAGUGUAUUUUGAAAAAACAGAACAAUUGAUCAAUUUUUAUCCUCAGAAAAAUUAUAAGAAAAAAACGAACUUUUGGUUCGUUUCCAUGCAUUUAUCUUCUCUCAGCGCCAAAAUUUGUCAUAAUGGAAAGCAAAUGUUUAGAAUGAACAAUUUUGAAAUGGGAAAAACUAAACAAAUACUAAUAAAAACGAAGCAAGCUAUUGCCCAUUCAGUAGUACAGGCUGUACUCUUAGCUGCACUUGUACAUAGACAUUAAACAGGCAUUAACUGAAGAAAAAAAACCAUUAACGAUCGGUUAAUUUUUGUGAAUAGAAAUUCUUCUGUUAAUGGAAAUAUCUGUUGUCAGAUUCUAAAUACAAUAAAUGGCUGUAGACGUAAUUUCAAUUUACUCUUCAUACGGUAACUUGAAAUUCCGCCUAUAAUAUUAAUAGUCCCUUUACUUUAAACAUGUGAUUACUGAAAACUGAUUAUUAUGAAAUAAAUCAUGUAUCCUUGUA
RNAcentral lists this unclassified non-coding RNA (1030 nucleotides) under Eurytemora carolleeae. RNAcentral's name for it is "uncharacterized LOC111713111". Lineage: Eukaryota; Metazoa; Arthropoda; Copepoda; Calanoida; Temoridae. The record is from RNAcentral.